Molecule: ribosomal RNA, 558 nt
Filed under: uncultured bacterium
Lineage: Bacteria
Description: partial 16S ribosomal RNA
Rfam family: Bacterial small subunit ribosomal RNA
Source: RNAcentral
UGGGGAAUUUGGACAAUGGGCGAAAGCCUGAUCCAGCAAUGCCGCGUGUGUGAAGAAGGCCUUCGGGUUGUAAAGCACUUUUGUCCGGAAAGAAAUCCUUGGCUCUAAUACAGUCGGGGGGAUGACGGUACCGGAAGAAUAAGCACCGGCUAACUACGUGCCAGCAGCCGCGGUAAUACGUAGGGUGCAAGCGUUAAUCGGAAUUACUGGGCGUAAAGCGUGCGCAGGCGGUUUGCUAAGACCGAUGUGAAAUCCCCGGGCUCAACCUGGGAACUGCAUUGGUGACUGGCAGGCUAGAGUAUGGCAGAGGGGGGUAGAAUUCCACGUGUAGCAGUGAAAUGCGUAGAGAUGUGGAGGAAUACCGAUGGCGAAGGCAGCCCCCUGGGCCAAUACUGACGCUCAUGCACGAAAGCGUGGGGAGCAAAACAGGAUUAGAUACCCUGGUAGUCCACGCCCUAAACGAUGUCAACUAGUUGUUGGGGAUUCAUUUCCUUAGUAACGUAGCUAACGCGUGAAGUUGACCGCCUGGGGAGUACGGUCGCAAGAUUAAAACUCAAU